AGAGUUUGAUCAUGGCUCAGAACGAACGCUGGCGGCAUGCCUAACACAUGCAAGUCGAACGUGAUCCGGGCUUCGGCCUGGUGAAAGUGGCAGACGGGUGAGUAACGCGUGGGAACCUGCCCCUGUGGUAGGGAAUAACCGUGGGAAACUGCGGCUAAUACCCUAUGAGUCCUUCGGGAGAAAGAUUUAUCGCCAUAGGAGGGGCCCGCGUCGGAUUAGAUAGUUGGUGGGGUAACGGCCUACCAAGCCUUCGAUCCGUAGCUGGUCUGAGAGGAUGAUCAGCCACACUGGGACUGAGAUACGGCCCAGACUCCUACGGGAGGCAGCAGUGGGGAAUAUUGGACAAUGGGGGCAACCCUGAUCCAGCAAUGCCGCGUGGAUGAUGAAGGCCUUCGGGUUGUAAAGUCCUUUCGGCGGGGAAGAUGAUGACGGUACCCGCAGAAGAAGCCCCGGCUAACUUCGUGCCAGCAGCCGCGGUAAUACGAAGGGGGCUAGCGUUGUUCGGAAUUACUGGGCGUAAAGGGCGCGUAGGCUGUGCUGUAAGUCAGGCGUGAAAGCCCCGGGCUCAACCUGGGAAUUGCGCUUGAUACUGCGGCGCUGGAAGGUGGGAGAGGAUGGCGGAAUUCCCAGUGUAGAGGUGAAAUUCGUAGAUAUUGGGAAGAACACCGGUGGCGAAGGCGGCCAUCUGGCCCACAUUUGACGCUGAGGCGCGAAAGCGUGGGGAGCAAACAGGAUUAGAUACCCUAGUAGUCC
This 753-nucleotide ribosomal RNA is filed under the name uncultured bacterium. Its description in RNAcentral is "bacterial SSU rRNA". It matches the Rfam family "Bacterial small subunit ribosomal RNA", at positions 8 to 796 of the family's 1533-position model. The record is from RNAcentral.